This 1119-nucleotide ribosomal RNA is filed under the name Triticum aestivum (bread wheat). RNAcentral's name for it is "partial small subunit ribosomal RNA". Lineage: Eukaryota; Viridiplantae; Streptophyta; Magnoliopsida; Poales; Poaceae. The record is from RNAcentral.
AUGAUGGUUAAUUAUAUAUUUUAUAUUAUAAUAAUGCAGAUGAAUCGGCAAUGGAUGUACGGUAACCGACUCUUCGGCGAGUUCACUACGGGUUUGAAAGAUUUCCUCGUAGUGGCUAAUGCGAACAAGCAGGGGGGUUUUGUUAUCUGUCCAUGUGUUAUCUGUAAGAAUCAGAAGGGUUACUCUUCCUCAAGAGAUGUUCACAUGCAUCUGCUUCGGCACGGUUUCAUGCCAAGCUAUAAUUGUUGGACCAAGCAUGGAGAAAGAGGGGUUAUAAUGGAAGAAGAUGAAGAAGGGGAUGAUUUCAUCGAUGAAAGCUAUCUUGCUCAUUUCGGUGAUACUUUCAUGGAGGAUGCUGAAGGUGAAGGGGAAGGUGAAGAAGAGGCACGUGAUGACCCCGUUGAUGAUCUUGGUCGGACCAUUGCUGAUGCACGGAGACGCUGCGAAACUGAAAAGGAGAGGGAGAAUUUGGAUCGCAUGUUAGAGGAUCACAGAAAGGCGCUGUACCCCGGAUGCGAUGAUGGUCUGAAAAAGCUGGGCUGCACACUGGAUUUGCUGAAAUGGAAGGCAGAGGCAGGUGUAGCUGACUCGGCAUUUGAAAACUUGCUGAAAAUGUUGAAGAAUAUGUUUCCAGAGGAUAACGAGUUGCCCGCCAGUACGUACGAAGCAAAGAAGGUUGUCUGCCCUCUAGGUUUAGAGGUUCUGAAGAUACAUGCAUGCAUCAACGACUGCAUCCUCUACCGCGGUGAAUACGAGAAUUUGAAUGAAUGCCCGGUAUGCACUGCAUUGCGUUAUAAGAUCAGAGGCGAUGACCCUGGUGACGAUGUUGAGGGCCAGAAACCCAGGAAGAGGGUUCCCGCCAAGGUGAUGUGGUAUGCUCCUAUAAUACCACGGUUGAAACGUCUGUUCAGGAACAAAGAGCAUGCCAAGUUGUUGCGAUGGCACAAAGAGGACCGUAAGUCGGACGGGGAGUUGAGACACACCGCAGAUGGAACGCAAUGGAGAAAGAUCGACAGAUGGUUCAAAGAUUUUGCAGCUGACGCAAGGAACAUAAGAUUUGCUCUAAGUACGGAUGGCAUGAAUCCUUUUGGCGAGCAGAGCUCCAGCCAUAGCACCUGG